This 224-nucleotide long non-coding RNA is filed under the name Carica papaya (papaya). RNAcentral describes it as "long non-coding RNA (CPAP_LNC000078)". Lineage: Eukaryota; Viridiplantae; Streptophyta; Magnoliopsida; Brassicales; Caricaceae. The record is from RNAcentral.
CGCAAGAGAAUGCUCUCCUCCAACAGUCUCGCCACAUGCAGCCUCAAACCGCCGCGCGAACCGCUUCCUCAGCUUCCCUUAAUUACACCACCGUGCUGGCCGCACUCUGAACUGGCUGGAGAUUGGUGGUUGUCUUUCCUCAGUGUCGAGAAUGGGUUGUUCAACCCUUUUUUGGUCUGAUGAAGUUUGACUCCUAAAACUCUAACCCUAACCCUAACUCUGAU